GAUGAGAACGUAGCGAAAUGCGAUACUUGGUGUGAAUUGCAGAAUCCCGUGAACCAUCGAGUCUUUGAACGCAAGUUGCGCCCGAAGCCAUUAGGCCGAGGGCACGCCUGCCUGGGCGUCACACGUCGUUGCCCCCCCAUCUACUCCUUCGGGAUUGCGGGGGGCGGAUGAUGGCCUCCCGUGCGCCUCGUCGCGCGGUUGGCAUAAAUGCCAAGUCCUCGGCGACGCACGCCACGACAAUCGGUGGUUGCGAAACCUCGGUUGCCCGUCGUGUGCGGUCGUCGCGCAUCGAGGGCUCGAAAAAAUUGCCGGGCUCCGGCUCGGCUUUCAACGCGACCCCAGGUCAGGCGGGGUUACCCGCUGAAUUUAAGCAUAUCAUAAGCGGAGGA
This 389-nucleotide unclassified non-coding RNA is filed under the name soil metagenome. Its description in RNAcentral is "partial contains 5.8S ribosomal RNA, internal transcribed spacer 2, and large subunit ribosomal RNA". The stretch from base 5 to 121 matches the Rfam family "5.8S ribosomal RNA", at positions 40 to 154 of the family's 154-position model. The record is from RNAcentral.